UGCACGCACGGUUAGUGACUAGUUCAAAUAGGAAAAGGAAAAGCAGAAAGACUCUUUGUUCCUCGUAACGUGAUUUGCAUCAUUCUCUCCUAUAAAACCCAAACAAGGAGAGAAUAGAAGAUAAGAGAAGAAGAAAAGAGAAGCAGAAAUGUCGGAACGAUUGACGCGUAUAGCGAUUGUGAGCUCCGAUAGGUGCAAGCCCAAGAAGUGCCGCCAGGAAUGCAAAAAAAGCUGCCCUGUUGUCAAAACCGGAAGACUCUGUAUUGAGGUUACUCCUGCAUCGAAGAUUGCUUUCAUAUCUGAGGAAUUGUGUAUUGGAUGUGGUAUCUGUGUCAAGAAAUGCCCGUUUGAAGCUAUUCAGAUCAUCAACUUGCCAAAAGAUCUGGACAAAGAUACAACCCAUCGCUACGGCCCUAACACUUUUAAAUUGCACAGGUUACCAGUCCCGAGACCUGGGCAAGUUCUUGGCCUGGUUGGAACUAAUGGCAUUGGGAAGUCCACUGCCCUCAAAGUUUUGGCUGGAAAACUGAAACCAAACCUCGGUCGCUUCAAUAAUCCUCCAGAUUGGCAGGAAAUCUUGACAUACUUCCGAGGAUCUGAGCUGCAGAAUUAUUUUACACGUAUUCUUGAAGAUAAUUUGAAGGCCAUUAUAAAGCCCCAGUAUGUUGAUCACAUUCCAAAAGCUGUUCAAGGUAAUGUAGGGCAGGUGCUGGACCAAAAGGAUGAGAGAGACAUGAAGUCAGAACUCUGCGCUGAUCUUCAGCUGAACCAGGUUAUAGACCGUAAUGUAGGGGAUUUGUCAGGAGGAGAGCUUCAGAGAUUUGCUAUUGCUGUUGUUGCUGUACAGAAUGCAGAAAUAUAUAUGUUUGAUGAACCUUCAAGUUACCUUGAUGUAAAACAGAGGCUUAAAGCUGCUCAAGUUGUCCGUUCUUUGCUCAGGCCUAAUAGCUAUGUAAUUGUUGUGGAGCAUGAUCUUAGCGUCCUGGAUUACUUGUCGGACUUCAUUUGCUGUUUAUAUGGGAAACCGGGAGCAUAUGGAGUUGUAACCCUUCCCUUCUCAGUCAGAGAAGGAAUCAAUAUCUUCUUGGCUGGAUUUGUUCCAACAGAAAAUUUACGUUUUCGGGAUGAAUCCCUUACCUUUAAGGUUGCUGAGACUCCACAAGAAAGUGCGGAGGAAAUUGAGACAUAUGCACGUUACAAAUACCCAACCAUGACCAAAACUCAAGGAAAUUUCAGGAUUCGUGUUGUUGAGGGUGAAUUUACUGAUUCUCAGAUUAUUGUGAUGCUGGGUGAGAAUGGGACUGGCAAAACAACAUUUAUCCGUAUGCUGGCUGGUUUACUGAAACCUGAUUCUGUAGAAGGUUCUGAUGUGGAGAUUCCUGAGUUUAAUGUUUCUUACAAGCCCCAGAAGAUCAGUCCAAAAUAUCCAUCCACUGUGCGGAACUUGCUAAUUUCAAAAAUACGUGAUUCAUACAUGCAUGCUCAGUUUGUGUCGGAUGUUAUGAAGCCUCUUCUUAUUGAACAAUUAAUGGAUCAAGAAGUUGUGAAUCUUUCUGGUGGAGAGUUGCAAAGAGUUGCAUUAUGCCUAUGCCUUGGGAAGCCUGCAGACAUUUAUCUGAUAGAUGAACCAAGUGCAUAUCUUGAUUCUGAGCAGCGUAUAGUUGCUUCAAAAGUCAUUAAGAGGUUUAUCCUUCAUGCAAAGAAAACUGCUUUCGUGGUUGAACAUGAUUUUAUAAUGGCAACUUAUCUGGCAGAUAGAGUUAUCGUGUAUGAGGGGAGGCCAUCGCUUGAUUGUAUCGCAAAUUCUCCACAGUCAUUGUUGACUGGGAUGAAUCUCUUCUUAUCUCAUUUGGAUAUCACAUUUAGAAGGGACCCAACUAAUUUCCGCCCUAGAAUCAACAAAUUGGAAUCAACCAAGGACAGGGAGCAGAAAUCUGCUGGGUCCUAUUAUUACCUGGAUGACUGACAAUUUUAAAUAGUUGCUUCUAUUUCAAAGUUUUAGUGCAUUGGUCUGAGCAGUGGGUUCUCAUUGAGCUAUUUAGAUGUGCGGGCAUCAGUUUGAGCAGUGGGAUCUCAAUAUGUUGACAAACGACAAGAUAUCCUCGCCGGUUGAAGGCAAAAUGUUGUACUUCUGGCUUAAAAUGAGUUUUCAGGCCAUGUUAUUUAUUGAUCAGUUUACUAUAUUUUCUCCUAUAGUGUGUUCACCAAUUUUGGUAUGACAUCAGGUCAGUGAAUCUGUAUGCCUAUUUUUCUUUUACCGCAUCAACGGUUGUAUUUAACUAGUUGAGGAACGGCGAAAAUGAUGUCAAUUGAGUUAUUGCUUCACAUGUUUUGACUUUUGUAAUUUCUGGGGUAAUAUUUAAAACAAUUCCACCAUAGUUUUUCUCUUGGAAAAAUUUACUGGAAUUGCUGAAUGUUUACUUAUAUAAUGUAAUUAGAAAGAUUUUUUGUUACUAAAAAUUGGUUGGGGUAAGUAGCUGGAUGUAGAGGGCAUGAUCUCAAGCAAAAACGUGAGCCUAGAGCUGGUGGCUUUUCAGCAGAGGUAAUUUGCAGAGUAGCUUGAGUUUGCCACACUAUGUAGUUAGCAAGAAUUGGAAAGAAUAGAGGAGAAUAACAUCUGUGAGUGUCACAACUGUUUUCCACCUCUCUCUCUCUCUCUUCCUUCCACUGAUGCGUUGUUUUGCAUUGCUUGCAGCAUUUGGAUAUCACAUUUAGAAGGGACCCAACUAAUUUCCGCCCUAGAAUCAACAAAUUGGAAUCAACCAAGGACAGGGAGCAGAAAUCUGCUGGGUCCUAUUAUUACCUGGGUGACUGACAAUUUUAAAUAGUUGCUUCGAUUUCAACGUUUUAGUGCAUUGGUCUGAGCAGUGGGUUCUCAAUGAGCUAUUUAGAUAUGUGGGAAUCGGUUUGAGCAGUGGGAUCUCAAUAUGUUGACAAACGACAAGAUGUCCUUCGCCUGUUGAAGGACUUCUGGCUUAAAAUGAGUUUUCAGGCCAUGUUAUUUAUUGAUGUCAGUUUACUAUAUUUUCUCCUAUAGUGUGUUCACCAAUUUUGGUAUGACAUUAGGUCAGUGAAUCUGUAUGCCUAUUUUUCUUUUAUAGCAUCAACGGUUGUAUUUAACUAGUUGAGGAACAGCAAAAAUGAUGUCAAUUGAUUUAUUGCUUUA
RNA transcript from Quercus lobata, 3166 nucleotides. It is a transcript of the gene named ABC transporter E family member 2-like, with no coding region annotated. Lineage: Eukaryota; Viridiplantae; Streptophyta; Magnoliopsida; Fagales; Fagaceae. The transcript has 14 exons. The record is from RefSeq and is a predicted model, not a curated record.